GACGAACGCUGGCGGCGUGCUUAACACAUGCAAGUCGAACGGAAAGGCCUUUUCGGAGGUACUCGAGUGGCGAACGGGUGAGUAACACGUGGGUGAUCUGCCCUGCACUCUUGGAUAAGCCUGGGAAACUGGGUCUAAUACCGGAUAGGACCGCACUUUGGUGUGUGUGGUGGAAAGUUUUUUCUGUGUAGGAUGAGCCCGCGGCCUAUCAGCUUGUUGGUGGGGUAAUGGCCUACCAAGGCGGCGACGGGUAGCCGGACUGAGAGGGUGGUCGGCCACAUUGGGACUGAGAUACGGCCCAGACUCCCACGGGAGGCAGCAGUGGGGAAUAUUGCACAAUGGGCGCAAGCCUGAUGCAGAGACGCCGCGUGGGGGAUGACGGCCUUCGGGUUGUAAACUCCUUUCGCCAGGGACGAAGCGUUUUGUGACGGUACCUGGAGAAGAAGCACCGGCUAACUACGUG
RNAcentral lists this ribosomal RNA (463 nucleotides) under uncultured bacterium. RNAcentral's name for it is "partial 16S ribosomal RNA". It matches the Rfam family "Bacterial small subunit ribosomal RNA", at positions 28 to 507 of the family's 1533-position model. The record is from RNAcentral.